RNAcentral lists this ribosomal RNA (250 nucleotides) under uncultured bacterium. RNAcentral's name for it is "partial 16S ribosomal RNA". It matches the Rfam family "Bacterial small subunit ribosomal RNA", at positions 524 to 773 of the family's 1533-position model. The record is from RNAcentral.
GACGUAGGGGGCCAGCGUUAUUCGGAAUUAUUGGGCGUAAAGGGCUCGUAGGCGGCCUCCUUAGUCGGACGUGAAAUCCCUCGGCUCAACCGGGGAACUGCGUCCGAUACUGGGAGGCUCGAAUCCGGGAGAGGGAUGCGGAAUUCCAGGUGUAGCGGUGAAAUGCGUAGAUAUCUGGAGGAACACCGGUGGCGAAGGCGGCAUCCUGGACCGGUAUUGACGCUGAGGCGCGAAAGCCAGGGGAGCAAAC